Molecule: unclassified non-coding RNA, 228 nt
Filed under: Hevea brasiliensis (rubber tree)
Lineage: Eukaryota; Viridiplantae; Streptophyta; Magnoliopsida; Malpighiales; Euphorbiaceae
Source: RNAcentral
AUGUAAUGUAAUCUUCUGCCUCAUUGAAUGCUAAAAAUAGGGCUCUCAGAUAGUAUUACGAUUAUAACUCACUAGACUCGAGAUUCAAGUUACUUCAUGAUGUUCUUUGUUUGAUUAAAAUUUAAAAUUUAUCAAAAAAUUUAAAAUAAUAUUUAAUAAAAUAAAUUAUUAAAUAAUUCACCACCACUUUUCAUUACACUUCAUCACUUUUCAUUACACGUUUUUUCA